RNAcentral lists this transfer RNA (63 nucleotides) under Platerodrilus sp. MNCN/DNA:86739. RNAcentral's name for it is "tRNA-Pro". The record is from RNAcentral. Lineage: Eukaryota; Metazoa; Arthropoda; Insecta; Coleoptera; Lycidae.
UCAGAGAUGGUUUAAGAAAAAAAUAUUAAUUUUGGGAAUUAAUGAUAAUUUAGUUUCUCUGAA